AACGAACGCUGGCGGCGCGCCUAAUACAUGCAAGUCGAGCGAGAAGACGUAGCAAUACGUUUGUAAAGCGGCGAACGGGUGAGGAAUACAUGGGUAACCUACCCUCGAGUGGGGAAUAACUAGCCGAAAGGUUAGCUAAUACCGCGUACGCUCCUUGGACUUCGGUUCAGGGAGGAAAGCGAUACCGUGGGUAUCGCGCUCUUGGAUGGGCUCAUGUCCUAUCAGCUUGNGGUGAGGUAACGGCUCACCAAGGCUUCGACGGGUAGCUGGUCUGAGAGGACGAUCAGCCACACUGGCACUGCGACACGGGCCAGACUCCUACGGGAGGCAGCAGUAAGGAAUAUUGCGCAAUGGGCGAAAAGCCUGACGCAGCGACGCCGCGUGGGGGAUGAAGGUCUUCGGAUUGUAAACCCCUUUCGGG
Molecule: ribosomal RNA, 421 nt
Filed under: uncultured bacterium
Lineage: Bacteria
Description: bacterial SSU rRNA
Rfam family: Bacterial small subunit ribosomal RNA
Source: RNAcentral